AGGUGCUCAGAUACGACCAAGGUCAGGAGAAGAAAGAAGAUAUGGCGAAGAAAGAAGCCUCAUGUCGAAAUGCUACGGAUUUUACAGGGAGGACGCUUUUGCCACUAACCACUGAACCAGUAAAGGGCGUAUUGCUGCUUUCAAGCUGUCUGAACUCGCUUUGUCUUCAACGAUGUAAUAUGGCUAGACAGUGACUUUAACCACCCCUGGAAAGGACAUUGGUAGCAUCCUCCACCAAAGACCUCAGAUUCGUGUUCGCCUGUACCCGAUCGCGAGCCACGAUUGCCUCGCUUGCCGACGUUUGUCAUCUAGACUUUUUGCAGGGUUGACACUUAAUAUGAAAUGCACAGCUUGCUUUGGGUGGUAAUAAUUUUCGCCAAAAUACACGUGUAUCAGAUGAAGCAUCGCACGUAACGUG
Long non-coding RNA from Lingula anatina, 418 nucleotides. RefSeq lists it as uncharacterized. Lineage: Eukaryota; Metazoa; Brachiopoda; Lingulata; Lingulida; Lingulidae. The record is from RefSeq and is a predicted model, not a curated record.